AGGUUAUGAUGUGGGCAUUUCCUUAACAAGUCUUUAAAUAUCUCCCACGCCUCAAAUAAUGAUUUAGUGUCCAACUGUACAUAAGCUAUAAUCUCUUGACACAACUU
Molecule: small nucleolar RNA, 107 nt
Organism: Dioscorea cayenensis subsp. rotundata (Guinea yam)
Lineage: Eukaryota; Viridiplantae; Streptophyta; Magnoliopsida; Dioscoreales; Dioscoreaceae
Source: RefSeq, a predicted model, not a curated record